RNAcentral lists this ribosomal RNA (467 nucleotides) under uncultured bacterium. Its description in RNAcentral is "partial 16S ribosomal RNA". It matches the Rfam family "Bacterial small subunit ribosomal RNA", at positions 28 to 507 of the family's 1533-position model. The record is from RNAcentral.
GACGAACGCUGGCGGCGUGCUUAACACAUGCAAGUCGAACGGAAAGGCCUCUUUCGGGGGGUACUCGAGUGGCGAACGGGUGAGUAACACGUGAGUAACCUACCCUUGACUUUGGGAUAACUUCAGGAAACUGGGGCUAAUACCGGAUAGGAGCUCCUGCUGCAUGGUGGGGGUUGGAAAGUUUCGGCGGUUGGGGAUGGACUCGCGGCUUAUCAGCUUGUUGGUGGGGUAGUGGCUUACCAAGGCUUUGACGGGUAGCCGGCCUGAGAGGGUGACCGGCCACAUUGGGACUGAGAUACGGCCCAGACUCCUACGGGAGGCAGCAGUGGGGAAUAUUGCACAAGGGGUGGAAGCCUGAUGCAGCAACGCCGUGUGCGGGAGGACGGCCUUCGGGUUGUAAACCGCUUUCGCUCAUGACGAAGCUUUGUGUGACGGUAGUGGGUAAAGAAGCACCGGCUAACUACGUG